ACGUAGGGUGCAAGCGUUAAUCGGAAUUACUGGGCGUAAAGCGUGCGCGGGCGGUUUCGUAAGUCUGUCGUGAAAUCCCCGGGCUUAACCUGGGAAUGGCGAUGGAGACUGCGAGGCUAGAGUUUGGCAGAGGGGGGUAGAAUUCCACGUGUAGCAGUGAAAUGCGUAGAGAUGUGGAGGAACACCAGUGGCGAAGGCGGCUUUCUGGUCUGUAACUGACGCUGAGGCGCGGAAGCGUGGGGAGCAAACAGGA
This 253-nucleotide ribosomal RNA is filed under the name uncultured prokaryote. RNAcentral describes it as "partial 16S ribosomal RNA". It matches the Rfam family "Bacterial small subunit ribosomal RNA", at positions 525 to 777 of the family's 1533-position model. The record is from RNAcentral.